AUUGAACGCUGGCGGCAGGCCUAACACAUGCAAGUCGAACGAGUGGCGGACGGGUGAGUAAUGUCUGGGAAACUGCCCGAUGGAGGGGGAUAACUACUGGAAACGGUAGCUAAUACCGCAUACUAUCGAAGGUGCCCAUAUGGGAUUAGCUAGUAGGUGGGGUAACGGCUCACCUAGGCGACGAGCCCUAGCUGGUCUGAGAGGAUGACCAGCCACACUGGAACUGAGACACGGCCCAGACUCCUACGGGAGGCAGCAGUGGGGAAUAUUGGACAAUGGGCGAAAGCCUGAUGCAGCCAUGCCGCGUGUAUGAAGAAGGCCUUCGGGUUGUAAAGUACUUUCGGCGGGGAGGCGUUACCCGCAGAAGAAGCACCGGCUAACUCCGUGCCAGCAGCCGCGGUAAUAC
RNAcentral lists this ribosomal RNA (406 nucleotides) under uncultured bacterium. Its description in RNAcentral is "partial 16S ribosomal RNA". It matches the Rfam family "Bacterial small subunit ribosomal RNA", at positions 30 to 526 of the family's 1533-position model. The record is from RNAcentral.